Molecule: long non-coding RNA, 503 nt
Filed under: Gallus gallus (chicken)
Lineage: Eukaryota; Metazoa; Chordata; Aves; Galliformes; Phasianidae
Source: RNAcentral
UGCAGAUCUUUAUCAUAGAGCUGGAACAUCAAGCAGAGGGCAAGGGCAUCUCUCUGAGAGUGUAGAAGAUCAGUGAAAACACCAACAAGGUAAUCUACAAUGUGUGCUCCUGUUUCAUUUUCAGUCUGAAGCAGCAGUUUAUUCCUGGCUUCUAAUGCAGCAGGGACAACAGCACUGAAUGGAAAUGUUUGAAUAACAGUGUCUUCAUUUAAAGUGAACCCAAUUUCUUCAUCUAAGCCAUCACUGCCCUCAACUAGGAUGUCUACCAUAUCAAGGACAUCAUCAAUGUGAGAGAUGGGGAUGCUGACAUUAUCAGAGUCCUGUUUAAACACGUUAACUUGGAGCAUACUUGCUUCCUGAACAAGGUCUGCUGCUUUAUCUGUAUAUGGAUAAGGAUUUGUCACCAGUUUCAACAGGAUCCUUUCCAAAAAUUGAAUCACUGCUUCCUUUUUGUCUUCUUUUGUAUUAUCUAAGUGUUCCAGCCAAAUUGAAAGUUCCUUCCA